AGUAACGCGUGAGGAACCUGCCUCAAAGAGGGGGACAACAGUUGGAAACGACUGCUAAUACCGCAUAAGCCCACGGCUCGGCAUCGAGCAGAGGGAAAAGGAGCAAUCCGCUUUGAGAUGGCCUCGCGUCCGAUUAGCUAGUUGGUGAGGUAAUGGCCCACCAAGGCGACGAUCGGUAGCCGGACUGAGAGGUUGAACAGCCACAUUGGGACUGAGACACGGCCCAG
RNAcentral lists this ribosomal RNA (227 nucleotides) under uncultured bacterium. RNAcentral's name for it is "partial 16S ribosomal RNA". It matches the Rfam family "Bacterial small subunit ribosomal RNA", at positions 109 to 334 of the family's 1533-position model. The record is from RNAcentral.